RNAcentral lists this ribosomal RNA (406 nucleotides) under uncultured bacterium. Its description in RNAcentral is "partial 16S ribosomal RNA". It matches the Rfam family "Bacterial small subunit ribosomal RNA", at positions 30 to 526 of the family's 1533-position model. The record is from RNAcentral.
AUUGAACGCUGGCGGCAGGCCUAACACAUGCAAGUCGAACGAGUGGCGGACGGGUGAGUAAUGUCUGGGAAACUGCCCGAUGGAGGGGGAUAACUACUGGAAACGGUAGCUAAUACCGCAUACCAUCGGAUGUGCCCAGAUGGGAUUAGCUAGUAGGUGGGGUAAUGGCUCACCUAGGCGACGCUCCCUAGCUGGUCUGAGAGGAUGACCGGCCACACUGGAACUGAGACACGGUCCAGACUCCUACGGGGGGCAGCAGUGGGGAAUAUUGCACAAUGGGCGCAAGCCUGCUGCAGCCAUGCCGCGUGUAUGAAUAAGGCCUUCGGGUUGUAAAGUCCUUUCAGCGGGGAGGCGUUACCCGCAGAAGAAGCACCGGCUAACUCCGUGCCAGCAGCCGCGGUAAUUC